GGUGUGUGUGUGUUUGUGUGUGUGUGUGUGUGUACAUAUGUUUAUACACACAUGCGCACACACACACACACACAAU
This 76-nucleotide microRNA precursor is filed under the name Marmota monax (woodchuck). The record is from RNAcentral. Lineage: Eukaryota; Metazoa; Chordata; Mammalia; Rodentia; Sciuridae.